GACGUAGGAGGCGAGCGUUGUCCGGAUUCAUUGGGCGUAAAGAGCGCGCAGGCGGCUUGGUAAGUCGGAUGUGAAAUCCCGAGGCUCGACCUCGGGUCUGCAUCCGAUACUGCCCGGCUAGAGGUAGGUAGGGGAGAUCGGAAUUCCUGGUGUAGCGGUGAAAUGCGCAGAUAUCAGGAGGAACACCGGUGGCGAAGGCGGUGGUCUGGGCCGGCACUGACGCUGAGGAGCGAAAGCGUGGGGAGCGAACAGGA
This 254-nucleotide ribosomal RNA is filed under the name uncultured bacterium. RNAcentral describes it as "partial 16S ribosomal RNA". It matches the Rfam family "Bacterial small subunit ribosomal RNA", at positions 524 to 777 of the family's 1533-position model. The record is from RNAcentral.